GCCAGCAUGGUGCAUUGGUUUGAGCAUUGGACCACAACUCUAGAGAUCAGGGUUCAAUUCCCUGCUUGAGCA
This is a non-coding RNA of Phrynosoma platyrhinos (Desert horned lizard), 72 nucleotides long. Lineage: Eukaryota; Metazoa; Chordata; Lepidosauria; Squamata; Phrynosomatidae. The record is from the annotation of a GenBank genome assembly.